Molecule: ribosomal RNA, 460 nt
Filed under: uncultured bacterium
Lineage: Bacteria
Description: partial 16S ribosomal RNA
Rfam family: Bacterial small subunit ribosomal RNA
Source: RNAcentral
CCUACGGGUGGCAGCAGUGAGGAAUAUUGGUCAAUGGGCGGGAGCCUGAACCAGCCAAGUCGCGUGAGGGAAGACGGUCCUAUGGAUUGUAAACCUCUUUAGGCGGGGAGCAAUGCCGGGCACGCGUGCCCGGAGGGAGAGUACCCGCAGAAUAAGCAUCGGCUAACUCCGUGCCAGCACCCGCGGUAAUACGGGGGAUGCGAGGGUUAUCCGGAUUUUUUGGGUUUAAAGGGUGCGUAGGCGGAUUUUAAAGUCAGCGGUAAAAUGUCCGGGCUCAACCCGGGCCGGCCGUUGAAACUGGGGAUCUUGAGUGGGCGAGAGGUAUGCGGAAUGCGUGGUGUAGCGGUGAAAUGCAUAGAUAUCACGCAGAACUCCGAUUGCGAAGGCAGCAUACCGGCGCCCGACUGACGCUGAGGCACGAAAGCGUGGGGAUCGAACAGGAUUAGAUACCCCUGUAGUC